UCCUAAAAGAAAAAAAUAAAAAUUGGAAAGAUACAGAGAAGAUUAGCAUGGCCCCUGCUUAAGGAUGAUAUGCAAAUUCGUGAAGUACUCCGUAUUUUU
Molecule: small nuclear RNA, 99 nt
Filed under: Sus scrofa (pig)
Lineage: Eukaryota; Metazoa; Chordata; Mammalia; Artiodactyla; Suidae
Also listed under: 1 other name
Source: RNAcentral